UAUAUCCAUGUUUAAAAAGAAUACGAUUGUCCAUAAAGAGUCAAGUUGUAAAAUCUCGUUAUCUCAAUUAUUAUCGAGAUAAUUCUUCAAAAUUUUGCCACGAAUGUACAUUUUAUAAAACCUACAGUUACAAAUUUACAUAACUUAUACUUGUAAAAAGUAUUAUAUGUUUCAUAUUCACCCUAAAAAAAAGUUUCCAUCCAUCCAUCCAUAACAUUUCCACCCUUAGGAGAAAUCGAGCCUGUGAAUAAAUAAAUAAAUACGAUCGUUGGGGCGAUCCUCGCGUGUCACGCGCGUUCUUGAGAGUGUGCUAGUGCCGUUUUGCUCUCCGCGGGUCUGAUUUGAGUUAGCCACACGCCGAGCAAAUCAAUCACGUCGCACGCACUCGGCACACAUGCCGUUAAUGUGCACGCGGGACCACCAGCCGGAGAGAGAAGGGCCCAAGGAUUAGGGCGCGUUUCCGUUUCGAGGAUAAUUACUCGCCAUCCCUCUGAUCUUUGGCGGUUGGCUACGUUAACCGACUCUAAACAGGGAAUCGCCUCCACGCCGCUAAUAGAAAGUUAAGACCGCGUGGGACAAAUGGAUUUGUCGCACGACACGAGGAAACGAUUGCCUGUGACACGCCAGUCGUUUCGGUGAAACGAAGGAAGGGUUUGUCUUCUUUUGAAGAAGGUGAAACACUUGAUAUGAAUCGUUGUCGGAGACACCUCGGAGACGGAAGCAAUUUUCCAACGCCAUCAAGCGUAACAAGAUUCAUAGCAUGAAAUGAGAUUUGGCUGUUUCGUUCGACGCUUUAAUCGCACGGUGAAUUGGGAGGAUAGAGGAUGGGAGUUCGAUUAAGCAGGCUCGAUUUUAUGGUUCUACGAUUAUUCGAACUGCUAUUAGUCCCAGGGAUCUUCAUUAGCCGAUGUAUCAGGGGCGUACGGAGGGAGGUGCUCUGGAAUUGCAACCGGAGUUCGUUAAUUAAUUCCUUAGCCGAGUUCGUUAGAGAGGUGGGUAAAAGGUAAAACUGGGCUUGAACGGGGAGACGUGUUCCAAUCUAAACUUUUCUUACCUUUGAUUCUUUCGCUGUUGGCAAAAA
Molecule: long non-coding RNA, 1081 nt
Organism: Apis mellifera (honey bee)
Lineage: Eukaryota; Metazoa; Arthropoda; Insecta; Hymenoptera; Apidae
Exons: 3
Source: RefSeq, a predicted model, not a curated record